RNAcentral lists this ribosomal RNA (449 nucleotides) under uncultured bacterium. Its description in RNAcentral is "partial 16S ribosomal RNA". It matches the Rfam family "Bacterial small subunit ribosomal RNA", at positions 29 to 523 of the family's 1533-position model. The record is from RNAcentral.
AACGAACGCUGGCGGCAGGCCUAACACAUGCAAGUCGAACGCUCUAGCAAUAGAGAGUGGCGCACGGGUGCGUAACGCGUGGGAAUAUGCCCUUGACUACGGAACAACGUCGGGAAACUGACGCUAAUACCGUAUAAUGUCUUCGGACCAAAGAUUUAUCGGUCAAGGAUUAGCCCGCGUCUGAUUAGCUAGUUGGUGAGGAAACGGCUCACCAAGGCGACGAUCAGUAGCUGGUCUGAGAGGAUGAUCAGCCACACUGGGACUGAGACACGGCCCAGACUCCGACGGGAGGCAGCAGUGAGGAAUAUUGGACAAUGGAGGCAACUCUGAUCCAGCCAUGCCGCGUGAGUGACGAAGGCCUUCGGGUUGUAAAGCUCUUUCAGAUGCGAAGAUAAUGACGGUAACAUCAGGAGAAGCCCCGGCUAAAUUCGUGCCAGCCGCCGCCGUAA